GCCGGCGUAGCUCAGCUGGCUAGAGCAGCUGAUUUGUAAUCAGCAGGUCGGGGGUUCGAGUCCCUUCGCCGGCUCCA
Molecule: transfer RNA, 77 nt
Filed under: Nautilia lithotrophica
Lineage: Bacteria; Pseudomonadati; Campylobacterota; Epsilonproteobacteria; Nautiliales; Nautiliaceae
Also listed under: 3 other names
Description: tRNA-Thr
Rfam family: tRNA
About the family: Transfer RNA (tRNA) molecules are approximately 80 nucleotides in length. Their secondary structure includes four short double-helical elements and three loops (D, anti-codon, and T loops).
Source: RNAcentral